UUCUAAGGCCAUGCCAUCCUGAACAAGCUAUAAGUCUGAUCUAAGAAGCUAAGCAGGGUCGGGCCUGGUUAGUACUUGGAUGGGAGACUACUUAGGAAGAUCAGGUGCUGUAGGCA
RNAcentral lists this ribosomal RNA (116 nucleotides) under Pteropus alecto (black flying fox). Lineage: Eukaryota; Metazoa; Chordata; Mammalia; Chiroptera; Pteropodidae. The record is from RNAcentral.